RNAcentral lists this ribosomal RNA (294 nucleotides) under Triticum aestivum (bread wheat). Its description in RNAcentral is "partial small subunit ribosomal RNA". The record is from RNAcentral. Lineage: Eukaryota; Viridiplantae; Streptophyta; Magnoliopsida; Poales; Poaceae.
AACCUGAGCAUCGAGAUGACGCAGCUGGAGCUGUCGAGGUGGGACGGCAGCCAGGGCACGGUCAUCAAGGGAGCAGGGUACCACGACUUCGUCGGCAAGUGCGGCUUCAGGGAGGAUGACCUCGUUGAGAUAUGGGCAUUCAAGCAGAGGGAAUUCCGGAACUUUGGGGUGAAUAUGUGCGAUGAGAGCCCGCUCUAUAUCGUGCUAGUUAACAAACAAGCACGGCGAGCAGCGGCGGCCCGUGGUGUCGCCGUUGCCGGCCCCGCCGCGCGAUCGACCAUGCCGGCGCUGUAG